Molecule: ribosomal RNA, 443 nt
Filed under: uncultured bacterium
Lineage: Bacteria
Description: partial 16S ribosomal RNA
Rfam family: Bacterial small subunit ribosomal RNA
Source: RNAcentral
CCUACGGGAGGCUGCAGUGGGGAAUAUUGGGCAAUGGAGGCAACUCUGACCCAGCAACGCCGCGUGAAUGAUGAAGGUCUUCGGAUUGUAAAGUUCUGUGAUGGGGGAUGAACACAAUGACGGUACCCCAAUAGCAAGCCACGGCUAACUACGUGCCAGCAUCCGCGGUAAUACGUAGGGGGCGGGCGUUAUCCGGAUUCACUGGGGGUAAAGGGAGCGUAGACGGCCGUGCAAGCCAGGAGUGAAAGCCCGGGGCCCAACCCCGGGACUGCUCUUGGAACUGUGCGGCUAGUGUGCGGGAGAGGUAAGCGGAAUUCCUGGUGUAGCGGUGAAAUGCGUAGAUAUCAGGAGGAACACCGGCGGCGAAGGCGGCUUACUGGACUGUAACUGACGUUGAGGCUCGAAGGCGUGGGGAGCAAACAGGAUUAGAUACCCUGGUAGUC